GGAUGACUGGCGUACGAGGAAUGACUGUGUGCACCAUUUUGCUGCAUUUUAUAUGUAUGAUGUCCAUGACCACGAUAAUCUCUACUGUGGGUCUCAUGAUAUGGGCGAGACUUACUACUAUGGUCAUUUGAACCUGAUGAUCUGGGGUAACGUCCAGGAUCUUGAGCAGAAUGGACGAAACUAGGCUGUAUGUUUUCAUGAGCAUUGUUACUCGGGGUUUCAAAGGAAGGAACGGGAGGACCAUAUGCAGCACGACAGGACGCUGGUCGGGCGUGCAUAUAAUUAUCACGUCCUUGGCCAUUAUGUGGACGCCUGUGAUCACCAUUUCCACCCCUAUCUUCUU
This 343-nucleotide unclassified non-coding RNA is filed under the name Hevea brasiliensis (rubber tree). Lineage: Eukaryota; Viridiplantae; Streptophyta; Magnoliopsida; Malpighiales; Euphorbiaceae. The record is from RNAcentral.